AGCUUUGCGCAGCGGCAGUAUCGUAGCCAGUGAGGUUAAUCCGAGGCGCGGUUAUUGCUGGUUGAAAACUUUUCCCAAUAUUCCGCCAUGACGACUUGAAAUACAGUCGACAUUGGCAAUUUUUGAGAGCCUUUUUACGGG
Molecule: small nuclear RNA, 141 nt
Organism: Corvus moneduloides (New Caledonian crow)
Lineage: Eukaryota; Metazoa; Chordata; Aves; Passeriformes; Corvidae
Gene: U4
Rfam family: U4 spliceosomal RNA
About the family: U4 small nuclear RNA (U4 snRNA) is a component of the major U2-dependent spliceosome. The structure of U4 snRNA from yeast and human has been reported.
Source: Ensembl